This 186-nucleotide ribosomal RNA is filed under the name uncultured Staphylococcus sp. RNAcentral describes it as "partial 16S ribosomal RNA". It matches the Rfam family "Bacterial small subunit ribosomal RNA", at positions 154 to 334 of the family's 1533-position model. The record is from RNAcentral. Lineage: Bacteria; Bacillati; Bacillota; Bacilli; Caryophanales; Staphylococcaceae.
AAACCGGAGCUAAUACUGGAUAAUAUUUUGAACCGCAUGGUUCAAAAGUAAAAGACGGUCUUGCUGUCACUUAUAGAUGGAUCCGCGCUGCAUUAGCUAGUUGGUAAGGUAACGGCUUACCAAGGCAACGAUGCAUAGCCGACCUGAGAGGGUGAUCGGCCACACUGGAACUGAGACACGGUCCAG